This 406-nucleotide ribosomal RNA is filed under the name uncultured bacterium. RNAcentral describes it as "partial 16S ribosomal RNA". It matches the Rfam family "Bacterial small subunit ribosomal RNA", at positions 29 to 526 of the family's 1533-position model. The record is from RNAcentral.
AUUGAACGCUGGCGGCAGGCUUAACACAUGCAAGUCGAGCGAGCGGCGGACGGGUGAGUAAUGUAUGGGAAACUGCCUGAUGGAGGGGGAUAACUACUGGAAACGGUAGCUAAUACCGCAUACCAUCAGAUGUGCCCAAAGGGGAUUAGCUAGUAGGUGGGGUAAUGGCGUAACUAGGCGACGAUCCCUAGCGGGUCGGAGAGGAUGACCAGCCACACUGGAACGGAGACACGGGCCAGACUCCUACGGGAGGCAUGAGUGGGGAAUAUUGCACAAUGGGCGCAAGCCUGAUGCAGCCAUGCCGCGUGUGUGAAGAAGGCCUUCGGGUUGUAAAGCACUUUCAGCGAGGAGGCGUUACUCGCAGAAGAAGCACCGGCUAACUCCGUGCCAGCAGCCGCGGUAAUAC